This 483-nucleotide ribosomal RNA is filed under the name uncultured bacterium. RNAcentral's name for it is "partial 16S ribosomal RNA". It matches the Rfam family "Bacterial small subunit ribosomal RNA", at positions 29 to 507 of the family's 1533-position model. The record is from RNAcentral.
AUUAACGCUAGCGGCAGGCAUAAUACAUGCAAGUUGAACGGCAGCACAGGUAGCAAUACUGGGUGGCGAGUGGCGCACGGGUGCGUAACACGUAUGCAACCUACCCUAUACAGGCGAAUAACCUUUAGAAAUGAGGGCUAAUACGCCGUAGUAUUACAGAUGGGCAUCUAUUUGUAAUUAAAGAUUUAUCGGUAUAGGAUGGGCAUGCGUCCCAUUAGUUAGUUGGUAAGGUAACGGCUUACCAAGACGAUGAUGGGUAGGGGAUCUGAGAGGACUUACCCCCACACUGGUACUGAGACACGGACCAGACUCCUACGGGAGGCAGCAGUAAGGAAUAUUGGGCAAUGGCCGCGAGGCUGACCCAGCCAUGCCGCGUGCAGGAAGACGGCCUUAUGGGUUGUAAACUGCUUUUAUACAGGAAUAAUAGAGUGUACGCGUACAUUUAUGCAAGUAUCGUAUGAAUAAGCAUCGGCUAACUCCGUG